CAGCGGCACCGGAGCGGGCCGGGCCGGGCCCGCAGCCCCCCGCAGCAUGGCCGAGCCGCCGGCGGCAGCGCCGGCCCCCGAGGGCGAGGAGGGCCCGGUGCGCUUCGCCCGCAAGGGCGCCCUGCGGCAGAAGAACGUGCACGAGGUGAAGAACCACAAGUUCACGGCGCGGUUCUUCAAGCAGCCCACCUUCUGCAGCCACUGCACCGACUUCAUCUGGGGCUUCGGCAAGCAGGGCUUCCAGUGUCAAGUUUGCUGCUUCGUGGUGCACAAGCGGUGCCAUGAAUUCGUCACCUUCUCCUGCCCCGGGGCUGACAAGGGCCCUGCCUCGGAUGAUCCCCGGAGCAAACACAAAUUUAAAAUCCACACGUACUCCAGCCCCACCUUCUGUGACCACUGCGGGUCGUUGCUGUACGGGCUCAUUCACCAGGGGAUGAAAUGUGACACCUGCAUGAUGAACGUGCACAAGCGCUGCGUGAUGAACGUGCCCAGCCUGUGCGGGACGGACCACACGGAGCGCCGGGGCCGCAUCUACAUCCGGGCCGACAUCGACAAGGACGUGCUCACCGUCGUAGUAAGAGAUGCUAAAAACCUAGUUCCUAUGGACCCUAAUGGCUUGUCAGAUCCCUACGUGAAGCUUAAACUAAUCCCUGACCCCAAAAACGAAAGCAAACAGAAGACCAAAACUAUCAAGUGCUCCCUGAAUCCUGAGUGGAAUGAGACAUUUAAAUUCCAGCUGAAGGAGGCAGACAAAGACAGGCGGUUGUCUGUGGAGAUCUGGGACUGGGAUCUGACCAGCAGGAAUGAUUUCAUGGGCUCCCUGUCCUUCGGGAUCUCUGAGCUGCAGAAGUCAGGAGUGGAUGGAUGGUUCAAGCUGCUCAGCCAGGAGGAGGGCGAGUAUUUCAACGUCCCCGUGCCCCCCGAGGGAGAAGAAGGAAACGAGGAGCUGAGGCAGAAGUUUGAGAGAGCCAAGAUUGGAGCGGGGUCCAAGGCUGCGGACGAGAAGACAAGAAAUGCCAUUUCCAAACUGGACAACAACGGCAGCCGGGACCGCAUGAAGCUCUCGGAUUUCAACUUCCUGAUGGUGCUGGGAAAAGGGAGCUUUGGCAAGGUGAUGCUGGCGGAGAGGAAGGGCACGGACGAGCUGUAUGCUGUGAAGAUCCUGAAGAAGGACGUGGUUAUCCAGGACGAUGACGUGGAGUGCACCAUGGUGGAGAAGCGCGUGCUGGCGCUCUCGGGGAAGCCUCCGUUCCUGACCCAGCUCCACUCCUGCUUCCAGACCAUGGAUCGCUUGUAUUUUGUGAUGGAAUACGUGAAUGGUGGGGACUUGAUGUACCAGAUCCAGCAGGUCGGGAGGUUCAAGGAGCCCCACGCUGUAUUCUACGCAGCAGAAAUAGCCAUUGGGCUCUUCUUCCUGCAGAGCAAAGGCAUCAUUUAUCGAGACCUGAAGCUGGACAAUGUGAUGCUGGACAGCGAGGGGCACAUAAAGAUCGCCGACUUUGGCAUGUGCAAGGAGAACAUCUGGGACGGGGUGACCACCAAGACCUUCUGUGGCACCCCGGACUACAUCGCGCCCGAGAUCAUUGCCUACCAGCCCUACGGGAAGUCGGUGGAUUGGUGGGCCUUCGGAGUCCUGCUCUAUGAGAUGUUGGCUGGCCAGGCCCCCUUUGAGGGAGAAGAUGAAGAUGAGCUCUUCCAGUCCAUCAUGGAGCACAACGUCGCCUACCCCAAGUCCAUGUCCAAGGAGGCAGUGGCCAUCUGCAAAGGGCUGAUGACCAAGCACCCUGCCAAGCGCCUGGGCUGCGGCCCCGAGGGGGAGCGGGACAUCAAGGAGCACGCCUUCUUCCGCUACAUCGACUGGGACAAGCUGGAGCGCAAGGAGAUCCAGCCCCCCUUCAAGCCAAAGGCUUGCGGACGCAAUGCUGAAAACUUCGACCGCUUUUUCACCCGCCACCCGCCCGUGCUAACGCCUCCCGACCAGGAAGUCGUCGGGAACAUUGACCAGUCAGAAUUCGAAGGAUUUUCCUUUGUUAACUCUGAGUUUUUUAAGCCUCAAGCCAAGAGCUAAGUUGCUGUGCGGAUCUCAUCCCUGCGUCUGUCAUCGGUUCCAGCUGCUGUUGUGGUGACACAUUCCACUUGCAUCCAUGGGCUUGCUUUAGUGACCAUAUUUCAAGUGUCUUCCUGGUGUUUGGGGUGUCGCUGGAGGGGAGUGAUGUGCAAGAAAUGCUGCAAAUGGGCUUUUGUAACAUUUUGUUUGUAGAAAAUGGGAACAGCUCAGUGGGUGACAGAACGAAAACGGUGACACGGUGACAGCUGGGAGGAAUCCCUUCGUCAUGUGCUUUAAUUCGUGCUCUUUCCUUUUUCUAGUGUUUUAAAUAAUAUUAAUGUUUAGCCUUCUUAGCCUUCGUGGCAAAGUAAGUGUUUUUAAUGAGACCAUUCCCCAGAGUCUCUCUCCUCCCAAAAGCUCUGGAGAGCCAAGGUGCUGUUCUGGCUCCUUUUCUGGCCGUGUCCUGCUGUGUGUCCAGCCCCACCACAGCUCCCCUUCCCUGCACCAAGGCUUUGGGCCGGCUGGGUCCCCAGCAGUGGGAGAAGUUAUUCAGGAAGGCAGAGCUGCCGUUGGCAAAGAUUUCUCCUGAUUGUGCAGUUUCUAAGUAGCAUUUUUUAAAAUCAAAGCAAACAUCCUGUGGUAAAAGGGAAAUUUGGAAGAGCUGGUUCUGAAUCCAUGGUCAUCCUAGUAAACACCACCAACAUCCAUUCUGUAGUGAAGCUUUUUCUUCUUUUCAAAUGCCAAAGCCAUUGAUGGAGUUUGUUACCUGUGCUUUAAAUGUGUCAAAAAUGGUAUUGACCCAAAGGGGAGAUACUUAACUCUGACCAGUAUUGUGAAUUCUGAUAUGAAGCGUGUAAAGACGCUUGUUUCAACGGAUACUUCUUAAAAAUUGCCCAAGUUUUGUUUCUGGCAUCAAAGGAAACAUUUCAGGAAGGGUGAAUUUCUCUUGAAAGGACAACAAUCACGCUGCUUCCUUUUAUACCCUUGCAGAUGUUCGUGGGCUGUCACUGUAUCAACCUGCUUGAUUUGUAAUGUGCCAAUUAAUUUUUUUUUUUUCUGAUACCGAUUAUAAAAUAAAAGGUGAGAAAACCCGCCCCAGAAACCUGCAUGUGUUUGGCAAUAAUGAGUUUCUGCAGUUCAGCGAGGUGAUUCCUGCCGACAGCCGGGGCUGGAAGCUGCCCCGGCUGCUGGGGGAUGCUGGCUCAAUCGCGGCGGUGGAGCCGCGGCUCCUUCUUGCUCUGCGUUUCUCCCAAAAAAUCCGAGGUGGGAUGUACUGGAAGCAUCAGCCGGGAGGGAGCGACUGCCCGCAGCCUCCUGCAGCAGCCCACGCUGCGCAGCGCCCGCCCGGGCUCCAGCACGGCCAGGGAAGGAGAAGUUUGUGUGGAUGAGGCCGGCAGGAAGGACACAGUGAGGUGAGGACACGGCUGAGGCCGGCAGGAAGGACACAGCGAGGUGAGGACACGGCUGAGGCCGGCAGGAAGGACACACCGAGGUGAGGACACGGCUGAGGCCGGCAGGAAGGACACACCGAGGUGAGGACACGGUGGAGGCUGGCACAGCGCUGGGGAUCUCUGGCAGAGCCUUGAGCAGAGCCGACUGCGGCAUCGCCUCGCACUCCCCGAGCUGCAGAGCCCGGCGUGACUCAUCCAUCCCUGCCCGCUCUCCCAGCAGCACUUGUUAGAAGCGAUUGGCACUUGCAGCUAAAGAGGGAUUACGGGCUCCUGUUCACCUCCCUCCUGCCUCUGGGGAUCUGCCUCUGCCAAGCUCCGCGGGUCCGGGCGCUGCAAGGUUGUUCCGAGAGGUCCCGAACGUCGGCGGGAGCCGAUCCCGGCAGCCCUGGAGCUGUGCCGCGGGGAGGGGGCUCAGGGCAGCGCUCAGGGAGGAUCCCCAUCCCUGGGGCCAGGCAGAAAUGCUGCUCGGGCCAGCCGUACCUGGGCACAGUGCCACGGGCACUGGGGCCACGCCGUGCCACCACCACACCGUGCCACCGGCACACCACCCCGCUGUGCUCCUCGUCACCUCCCAGAGUCAAUUCGCCCAUCGCUGGAGGCACUUUCAGCCCUGAUUGUCCCCUGCGCUCCCCUCUCUCCGUGAGACCCACACAGCCGUUCCCUGCCUGUUCCCGGACUGUUCAUCAUCUUGACAGAGGCCAAAUUGCCACCAGUUCCGGCAGAAUUCAAGCACCCCAAAGCUUUCCUGCUCAGGAGAAGCUCCUGGCUUGGUGGGACAGUGCUGUCCUGGCCCACGUUGGUUUGGAUGGAUGUGGCCUUCAGGAGCCACGUGGUCGUCUCAGAACUCUCCAGGAGCCUGGGGCCACUUUCCACAGAGAGACCCCGAGCACAGCCACGGCCGCUCAGCCCCGGAGCACCUGGGGGACCCUGCUGCCAUCGAGAAAGACAAACGCGACACUUCCAACUUCGACAAAGAGUUCACCCGGCAGCCGGUGGAGCUCACGCCCACGGACAAACUCUUCAUCAUGAA
Molecule: RNA transcript, 4528 nt
Organism: Vidua macroura (Pin-tailed whydah)
Lineage: Eukaryota; Metazoa; Chordata; Aves; Passeriformes; Viduidae
Gene: PRKCB
Gene name: protein kinase C beta
Exons: 19
Source: RefSeq, a predicted model, not a curated record